Molecule: transfer RNA, 65 nt
Filed under: Aphyosemion kouamense
Lineage: Eukaryota; Metazoa; Chordata; Actinopteri; Cyprinodontiformes; Nothobranchiidae
Description: tRNA-Cys
Source: RNAcentral
AGUCUCGAGGUGUCAACAUAUAUGAUUGCAAAUCAUAAGUAGCGGGCUAACGCCUGCCGGGGCUU